This 497-nucleotide ribosomal RNA is filed under the name uncultured bacterium. Its description in RNAcentral is "partial 16S ribosomal RNA". It matches the Rfam family "Bacterial small subunit ribosomal RNA", at positions 28 to 507 of the family's 1533-position model. The record is from RNAcentral.
GAUGAACGCUGGCGGCGUGCCUAAUACAUGCAAGUCGAGCGAACAGACGAGGAGCUUGCUCCUCUGACGUUAGCGGCGGACGGGUGAGUAACACGUGGAUAACCUACCUAUAAGACUGGGAUAACUUCGGGAAACCGGAGCUAAUACCGGAUAAUAUAUUGAACCGCAUGGUUCAAUAGUGAAAGACGGUUUUGCUGUCACUUAUAGAUGGAUCCGCGCCGCAUUAGCUAGUUGGUAAGGUAACGGCUUACCAAGGCGACGAUGCGUAGCCGACCUGAGAGGGUGAUCGGCCACCCUGCAACUGAGACACGGUCCAGACUCCUACGGGAGGCAGCCGUAGGGAAUCUUCCGCAAUGGGCGAAAGCCUGACGGAGCAACGCCGCGUGAGUGAUGAAGGUCUUCGGAUCGUAAAACUCUGUUAUUAGGGAAGAACAAAUGUGUAAGUAACUAUGCACGUCUUGACGGUACCUAAUCAGAAAGCCACGGCUAACUACGUG